UAGCGGCGGACGGGUGAGUAAUGCUUAGGAAUCUGCCUAUUAGUGGGGGACAACAUUCCGAAAGGGAUGCUAAUACCGCAUACGCCCUACGGGGGAAAGCAGGGGAUCUUCGGACCUUGCGCUAAUAGAUGAGCCUAAGUCGGAUUAGCUAGUUGGUGGGGUAAAGGCCUACCAAGGCGACGAUCUGUAGCGGGUCUGAGAGGAUGAUCCGCCACACUGGGACUGAGACACGGCCCAGACUCCUACGGGAGGCAGCAGUGGGGAAUAUUGGACAAUGGGGGGAACCCUGAUCCAGCCAUGCCGCGUGUGUGAAGAAGGCCUUUUGGUUGUAAAGCACUUUAAGCGAGGAGGAGGCGCUCUAGGAUAAUACCCUAGAUGCGUGGACGUUACUCGCAGAAUAAGCACCGGCUAACUCUGUGCCAGCAGCCGCGGUAAUACAGAGGGUGCGAGCGUUAAUCGGAUUUACUGGGCGUAAAGCGCGCGUAGGUGGCUAAUUAAGUCAAAUGUGAAAUCCCCGAGCUUAACUUGGGAAUUGCAUUCGAUACUGGUUAGCUAGAGUAUGGGAGAGGAUGGUAGAAUUCCAGGUGUAGCGGUGAAAUGCGUAGAGAUCUGGAGGAAUACCGAUGGCGAAGGCAGCCAUCUGGCCUAAUACUGACACUGAGGUGCGAAAGCAUGGGGAGCAAACAGGAUUAGAUACCCUGGUAGUCCAUGCCGUAAACGAUGUCUACUAGCCGUUGGGGCCUUUGAGGCUUUAGUGGCGCAGCUAACGCGAUAAGUAGACCGCCUGGGGAGUACGGUCGCAAGACUAAAACUCAAAUGAAUUGACGGGGGCCCGCACAAGCGGUGGAGCAUGUGGUUUAAUUCGAUGCAACGCGAAGAACCUUACCUGGCCUUGACAUACAGAGAACUUUCCAGAGAUGGAUUGGUGCCUUCGGGAACUCUGAUACAGGUGCUGCAGGGCUGUCGUCAGCUCGUGUCGUGAGAUGUUGGGUUAAGUCCCGCAACGAGCGCAACCCUUUUCCUUACUUGCCAGCAUUUCGGAUGGGAACUUUAAGGAUACUGCCAGUGACAAACUGGAGGAAGGCGGGGACGACGUCAAGUCAUCAUGGCCCUUACGGCCAGGGCUACACACGUGCUACAAUGGUCGGUACAAAGGGUUGCUACACAGCGAUGUGAUGCUAAUCUCAAAAAGCCGAUCGUAGUCCGGAUUGGAGUCUGCAACUCGACUCCAUGAAGUCGGAAUCGCUAGUAAUCGCGGAUCAGAAUGCCGCGGUGAAUACGUUCCCGGGCCUUGUACACACCGCCCGUCACACCAUGGGAGUUUGUUGCACCAGAAGUAGGUAGUCUAACCUUAGGGAGGACGCUACC
Molecule: ribosomal RNA, 1368 nt
Filed under: Acinetobacter indicus
Lineage: Bacteria; Pseudomonadati; Pseudomonadota; Gammaproteobacteria; Moraxellales; Moraxellaceae
Description: bacterial SSU rRNA
Rfam family: Bacterial small subunit ribosomal RNA
Source: RNAcentral